CCUACGGGAGGCAGCAGUGAGGAAUAUUGGUCAAUGGGCGAGAGCCUGAACCAGCCAAGUCGCGUGAGGGAGUACUGCCCUAUGGGUUGUAAACCUCUUUUGUCGGGGAGCAAAAGCCGGACGUGUCCGGCUGUGAGAGUACCCGAAGAAAAAGCAUCGGCUCACUCCGUGCCAGCAGCCGCGGUAAUACGGAGGAUGCGAGCGUUAUCCGGAUUUAUUGGGGUUAAAGGGUGCGCAGGCGGAUUUUUAAGUCAGCGGUCAAAUCGUGGGGCUCAACCCCAUCCAGCCGUUGAAACUGGGGAUCUAGAGUGUGCGAGAGGUAUGCGGAAGGCGUGGUGUAGCGGUGAAAUGCAUAGAUAUCACGCAGAACCCCGAUUGCGAAGGCAGCAUACCGGUGCACAACUGACGCUCAGGCACGAAAGCGUGGGUAUCGAACAGGAUUAGAUACACUUGUAGUC
This 458-nucleotide ribosomal RNA is filed under the name uncultured bacterium. RNAcentral's name for it is "partial 16S ribosomal RNA". It matches the Rfam family "Bacterial small subunit ribosomal RNA", at positions 338 to 795 of the family's 1533-position model. The record is from RNAcentral.